CGGCAGACGGGUGAGUAACGCGUGGGAACAUACCUCUUGGUUCGGAACAACACAGGGAAACUUGUGCUAAUACCGGAUAAGCCCUUACGGGGAAGGAUUUAUCGCCGAGAGAUUGGCCCGCGUCUGAUUAGCUAGUUGGUGAGGUAACGGCUCACCAAGGCGACGAUCAGUAGCUGGUCUGAGAGGAUGAUCAGCCACAUUGGGACUGAGACACGGCCCAA
RNAcentral lists this ribosomal RNA (221 nucleotides) under uncultured bacterium. RNAcentral describes it as "partial 16S ribosomal RNA". It matches the Rfam family "Bacterial small subunit ribosomal RNA", at positions 96 to 334 of the family's 1533-position model. The record is from RNAcentral.